This is a long non-coding RNA of Pseudopipra pipra, 5226 nucleotides long. RefSeq lists it as uncharacterized. The record is from RefSeq and is a predicted model, not a curated record. Lineage: Eukaryota; Metazoa; Chordata; Aves; Passeriformes; Pipridae. The transcript has 2 exons.
AUCUGUGAAUGAACUAAUGACACCUACUUACAGCCAGUAUUGUGAAGAUUAAUUAAUUGACAUUAUUGAAGUAUCCUGAGGUGGAAGUCCUAAUGUAACACUUGUUUAGCAGAGAGGCAUGCAGAAAAGUCCUGCAUGGUGUUUUAUCCAGCCUCUCUCCUACCUUUUGCCUCACCGGUCACAAUCAUGUACAGACAAGCUGCAGCAGAUGAAUUGUGCAGAGAGAUGGUGAGGAUUUGCCCUGAUGCAUUGAAACACUCAGAGUAUGAGAAGUCAUGCCAAGCUAUCUGAGCCAGCACGUGCCUUCUUUCUGACCUCAGAGGAUCUAGGCUUUUUCUGCCAUGUACACUUGCUGACUGACAGCAAGGAAAGGUUUUGUUGCCUGUGCGCUCACACACGUGAGGCUUCACAGAGCAGGUGUGUUUGUUCUGUGUGGCUGAUAAUUUGGGAAUAUGUGUUGUCUCCGUCAGAAACACGCUUUUCCUGCUGUGAGGGCUAUUCAGGUUAUCUGUGUAUAAUACCAUGAGCUGGAAGAGAAAGGGAAUUUGCGCCCUUUGAAGAAACUCCUCCAGAUUCUCUUCAGUCUCUCUUCAGUGUGAUACACUACUAUUUACAUUCUUUAUUAUCUCUUUUCCCCAGCUCUUGCUCCAAUCUUUCAGGCAGUUAAGAGUCUGGCUUUGGGCUUGCUGGGGGAUGCAGAUUUUCAUUUCAACAUGUUACUGGAUUUUUUAGUUCUGGAGCAGAAACCAACCUGUCUCACAGCAGCUCCUUUUUGCAUUAGACCCUGUCAGGUCUCUCCUGCACUGAUGCACUGAUUAAAAGCUUAGUUAUUUAUUCAUUUCCUCUUCACUAUCUUUAGGUAUAUGCCUGGACUUAGGAAUGAUCAGUCAUGUUUUUUUCAUCUUGCCUCGCUCUUUUUGUUCUCCUGUAUCAGGAUGGGAAACCAUGGUGUAGGUGCUGGAUUCACCCCUGGAAACCAGUGUUUUUGACCCAUUUAUCUGUACAAAUUAUCUUUCUGGAUUAUCUUUUCUGAUUUUCUGGUUAAAACAGGCUAAGAUUGAAGACUCCAUGCCCUUCUUUUUUUCCUUACUGACUCACAAAAAUAUAGCAGAACUUUUCCAUUUGCAGGCCUGACAAGCAGCUACCUGACUGUGUGGAACACUUGCAGGCACAAAGUGAGAAGCGGAGGUUGGGGAAGAGAACUGAGUGAAACAAAACUUUUGAAUCCAGAUGUUCCAGUCACACAGGGAGAUGUGUUUUGUUUCUGAGAAAUGAGCAUUUGCAAUCACUGAGAUAAUCUGCUGGUACCUAUCUAGGCAGGUGCUGCUAAACCUCCUAAAUUCAAAUAGUUUAAUUUUGAAGGAAAACCUACUGGUACAAACCAGUCUGAAGACACCUUUCUGCAUGCAAAUGGGAAAGGGGGGGCCUUAUUUAGAAGCACAAAUGUAACAGGCAGAGCAAAAUGGGGGAAAGUGAAGAUAUACUGGAAAAGCAACACAGAGGGAAGAGCCAAGUGUCAAGUAAAGAGCCUUUUUUGGAGAAUUUGCAGUGUUAUGGCUGCACUGAGGACCACUAGCACUGCUCUCUAAAAGCUACGUGGUUAUUGGAAAUGAAGGGGAAAAUCCCUGUCAGAUCAAUUGGUGCUUUAGAUGGCACUUUCCAUGUUGUAAAUUUAAUUUGCUUUCUUUUUUUUUUUUUUUAGCAUAAAAUUUGAUUAAACUCCAGGCAAUUCCUUAGAAUUUGAAGAGAACAUAUGCAACACAGCACUGGGACAUGGUAUGUUUUCACAGGUGUUGUGAUCAUUAAUGAGGGGCUGCUCAUGAUGCAGGUUAUCACCUGGUGAUAUAAAUAUGAUCUGAAUCAAGACGCACGGCGCAAUCACACUUCUGUCAAAUUAGCCAGGAUGAAUGAUGCAAAGUUGAUGCAGCUUUAUGUUUUCAGAUUAGCUUUAUGCCUGCUGUGGGAGGACAGCUGACAGUGAGCCAGGCAAGGUUAGCAGCUGAUCUGGUGUAAAGUCUUCAGUGCAGAGUCACCCCAUUAAAAAUGUUAAAAGAAGUAUGCAAAGUGAAUUUGAUUGACCCAGUGCUUUCCAUCUAGUGGUCACAACAUUGUGUAAUGCCAUAAAAGCAGAUUUAGCUUCUCUUUAGGUCACCAGCAGAGCUCCCUGAGGUUCAGUUUUCCUGGACCUAAUCAGGGGCUUGGGCAACCCCAGUCUGAGCUCAGCAUGUUGAGGGGCAGCCUGGCAGGUGCAGUGUGGGAUGAGGACUGGUUGUGGCUAUGUGUGGAGAGCCCCAGAUUGCACUUGUACAUGAAUUGUGGAGAAGCAGUUGGUUUGGGGUUGAUGUUUUUUCUAGGUAAGUGUAUGCAAGUUAUAAUUCUGAAAAGAUACCUGUUUCCAGUACAAGCUAGACAAGAAUGAGAUCCCCUGAAAUGGCAGGAUUUUUGUUAAAGAUAGUUGCAUUCCCUGGAGCCAGCUGUUAAAAUCUCUGCUGAUUUCCAAAUGGGCAUUAAAGGCUUUCUCCACCCAGCUCUGUCUCACCUCUGUGCCUCCUCCCUGCAUCCUCUGGCUCCAAAAGAAGCCCAGAGCUGAGGGAAUGGAUAUCCCAUGUGUGAUCACUGAGCCCAGCACGUUACUGUUCAUUCUCUCAAAAAUGAAAAGUCAUUAAAAGUAAAGAUGAUGGAUAAGUGGUGUUUAAUCAAGAACUGUCUUUAAGUGGGUUCAAUUGUGAAGUAGCAAAGGGUUAGAGAGGCUAAUUUCCUUAUAAUAAAUGGGUCCACUUAAAUUUGGUCAUCAGAAAAGGGUAAUCCAUGUUAUGUGGAAUAAGGAAACAUCACUGCUAAAGAAGCAGAGCAUUGAUUUCCAGUGGUUUUCCCCAAUUUUAAUAUUUGUGUAAGGAGGGCUAGGUCUCCUUUCUACAUGAAAGACAAUUUGGAACAAAUAGAGAAGUUAGAAAUACUGGUGCAGUUUUGUAACCCCCUUGAGUGUGGCCUUGAUGCCACAUUUCUGUGUGGUUUCUCCCCUCAGUGCUCGGUCAGUCAGGAUCUGUGAUCACCCACUGCUGCACAGCAGGCUGGUGGAGGCCACGGGGAAAGAGGCUGCUCUGGAAUUGCACCUGAGGUACUUUUCAUGUUGUUUAUGCUUAUUACUGAUAGGAGUAAGUGAAGAGGCUUCUGUUGCUGCAGCUUUGGUCAAAUGGUUCCAUAUGUGACUGCAUUAAAAGUUAUUUAACAUGAGGUUUGGGGCUUCCCCCCCCCCAAAAAAAAAAAAAAAGCAGUGGCUGCAAGAGAAAUUUCUCAUUAACAGUUUCUCCAAGGAAGGUGUGUGUUUGUCACAUGGCUACUCUUGUUCAAAUCUAUAAAGAAAAGGGGAAAUUGCGGCCAAGGAGGCUCCUGCUUGGAGGUAUCAGUCUUUUGGUUAGCUGAGGGCUGGAGAGGACUCUUGGUGACUACCUUCUCUUUCAUCUUCUUCAUGUCACAAGAAACAACUGCUGGGCAAGGCAUUGAUAGAGGACAUCUCAGCCAUGUGUUUUCUCAGUACAGGGUGGUGUUGACUUCCAAGUUGUCUUUUUCACCCAGAACAAUACAGUAACCAUUGGUGACAAUAACUGAGCUGUAUAUAGAAGCCAGCUCCUUCCACCUGUCUGCUGAGGAGUGUCUUGCUCCAGUGGAGCUGUUCUGACUGUCCUGGGAGUCUACAUGACAUCAGUGAAGUUUUCAGCCAUACUGGAUGAAAAUAAUUCUGUGAGAGCAUAUUAGGCUUGCCUAUUAAUCUAGAGAUGAGCUUUUGAACUGAUGUUUAAACCUCAUUUUCUGCCCUCUUUGAAAUGGAAGGAAGUCACCCAAGUAAGAGAUUGGAAUUGAUUCAGUUGUGUUUUCAUUUUCUUUGUGAUAAAUGUAACUUUCCCUUUCCCUCUCUGGAGAAUGCAUACCCCUCCUCCCACUGGAGUGGAUCAGCACUGGCAUCUGUGCAAACCUUCUUGCUCGGGUUUCCCUACUGGGAGUUUUCCACCCUUGCUGCCCACACUGGCUCUCUAGAAACCACCUUUCCUUCAAAAUCCCUCAAUUAACUGUGAAUGGUGCCAGGAAAGAGCCUGACCCCAUUAUACUUUUUCUGUGCCAAACCUGGUUGCUGGCAGAGGAACUCUCCAGAUGGUUCAGCUUUUGCCACUUUUCCUGUUCUUCCCAGAUAAGCUGACUGACCCGGGAGUCCACUUGGCCAUGGAACAAUUUAAGCUGUAUGUAGUCACAUGAGAAAAAUAAAAGUGAAAAGCCAGUAAAAGUGUGAUUUCUGGGCCAGGCAUUAACUGGGCUGUGGCAGAGCUGUUUUCUGGUCCCAGAUCUGCUACAACCAUCAUCUGUAAUUUUAGGCAGGUCCGUUAAAGCCUCCGUGUCUGCCUUUCUGGUUUGGUCAAAUGGAGGGAGCAGUGCUCCUUCUCGGUCUGAUGGCUGUGCUUUCUGUCAUCCAUCCUUUGAGGCAGGGCUUCUCUUUGUUUAGGGGUUACCCAGCAUGACGGUGAGCUGAUCUUGCUUGAGGUCUGUGCAAUCUCCAGUAAUAGUAACACAGACAAUCAGUUAACUGACUCAGAAACAAGUAUUCAAACAAUAUGCCUGUGAGCUUUCUCUCUUCAUUGGAUUUUAUUAUGAUGUGUUCUUGUUUGAUUUACUUUAUACCUUUAGGAAUGUUUAUUUAGUUUAUUUAUGACAUUAUGGUAUUCUUAGAAAACCAGGACACGGUUCUGAGUGGUCAGAAGGAUAAUUCCUUUAUUCUUGUUGCUUCUCAUGUAAUAAUCAUAGCCUUUACAAAUACCUACUUCAGGCACUGAAUGUAUUAAAAUUCUUGCACAGUUUUUCCUCUCUCAGAUAUGAUGAAAUACCUACCCCUGGCUGGCUGGAUUUGGACCCUCUGCUUGGGCUGUGACAGCCACAUUACUCCUCACUCAAUGCCACUGUGACUGCCAGACUUCCACCACGAAUAAGAGAACCUGGUUAACAGCAAUAGUAUGCACUUUAUUUUUCCCUUUCAGAGGUUAUAUCUGGUGACUGUGUGACUGGAACAAUGAGACUAACCUCAGUUUUACAGUAACAAAGCAGCUAUGAGCUUUCUGGGUAAAGUAUAUCUUGACUGACAUACAAGUAGCUGUAGCUUUGCUGCACAAUGGAGAAAAUGACUUCAUUUAACAGCUUUCUGUGCCAAGAAAGAAAUAAAACAGUUCUGAGAAUGUUGAA